UGUCCCUUAAAGAUUAAAAACUACAACGGGACGUGUCGCUCUCCGCCUUUCAGCGAACUGAGCGAAGCCCCCAGUCGGCAGCUGGCGUCUGACCUGCGCGCCUGCAGCCUCUGGCUGAAAUGUUGUUCGGCCGUUUCACUUCGACACAUUUUCAUUCGGAGUACAUUCGGCCCAGAUUCUUUUUAAACAUAAAAUGUAGGAGAGUAUCGCGGAGGCAAAACAGCCGCAGCCGUGCCGAUACCAUUCACGCUGACGCUCAGGUAGGCAGGAGCCGGUGGAUCCGUUAUCCGGAGCGUUUUCACCCGGACCGCCGCUGCCGUAUACCUCAGAAAACGGCUCUUCUCAGGACCCUCUCCCACUAUUACCAAGGACCAAAGUCUGCCUGUGCCGUCUUUGCCAGGCCCUGCACAGAAUCCCAUCAUCGGCGCACUCCUGAUGGCAGAUGAAAAUACAGCGUUGGAUCUUACCACCAGGAAGGACCAAAGGCAGCCGUGUGGCCAAGCUCUACAGAACUCACUACAGCUGAAAUAAAAAAAAAAAACAAAAUGGAUGAAGGCAGAGGGAAAGAAAAGCCUUGCUGUGCACAGGGUCUGUGUGACUCUCCAUCGUUAUGGGCAAACCCACAUCACCCUCAAAUUUAGACAUGCGUAUGGCAUCUAUAGUAGGGGGUGUCCUAUUAUGCAGUUGUUUGACAGAGAAUUUGGGAGAUACCGAUGGGGUAGGUGAGCAAUGGUUGUGGAACCUGGCGCAGGAUUUGCUGUGGAGGACUCAGGUGUACUCAAUCCCGAGCACAUUUCACGAGAGACGCAGAUCCCAUUGCCACGUGCUCCGACAGCCGCCAACAGCGGCCGCGUCCUUACGGAUGCAGUACUACAGACACAGAGGGACACCAUCACAGCGAUGCAAGAGAUGACGAGAGAGCUCCGGGAAAUGAAAAGGCUACUAGGCGAAAAAUAUCUAUUUCAUUAAAGGAUCUUGGUAAAAGGUA
Long non-coding RNA from Paramormyrops kingsleyae, 988 nucleotides. RefSeq lists it as uncharacterized. NCBI's taxonomy places the organism in Eukaryota, Metazoa, Chordata, Actinopteri, Osteoglossiformes, Mormyridae. The record is from RefSeq and is a predicted model, not a curated record.